Molecule: long non-coding RNA, 1487 nt
Organism: Poecilia latipinna (sailfin molly)
Lineage: Eukaryota; Metazoa; Chordata; Actinopteri; Cyprinodontiformes; Poeciliidae
Exons: 3
Source: RefSeq, a predicted model, not a curated record
CAGAGCAACCUGGUUUUGAGUUCUUUGAAGCAAGCGCCAAAGACAACAUCAACGUGAAGCAGACGUUCGAGCGACUGGUGGACAUCAUCUGUGAGAGGAUGACAGAGACUCUGGACAACAAUGACCCAACGGUCAUUGGAGCCAAGCAGGGGCCACAGCUCAAUGAGCAGCCCCAAAGGUCUCACCAAGAUUGCGCUUGCUGAAUGCACACAUAAGCGCAUAUGCACACACCCACAUGCACGCACACACCGCUUAUCCUGAUUUUUCAAGUUUUUUUUUUUAGUCUGGAUCUUUUUGUAAUAUGCAGGUACAAAACGUCCCUGCACAUAAACACUGCCAUCCAUCCACAGCCCCACUCCAGGAGCAGAGUCUGCCCAGAGCCGGGCCUUCCAGGGGUUGUCCUUCUGCUCAGCAACAUUAUCUGACUCUUUCACACACUUCUUAAACACACUAAGCUGUAUGUUACCAGAUGUGCAACAGUUGUAAUUAUUGUCCCUCUGAAAAGGUGUUUGUUGCUGAAGUCGGUUCAUGUAGGCGUGUUUUAGAGGAUCUGAAAUCCUCUUUUUAGUGUUGUGGUGGACUUUUAGGGAGUUUUUGGACCCAAGUUCAAUGUUCAGGCACAGUUGUUCUUAAAUUAAGAAAUUAUUGAAUUCAUUUAAAUAUUUAUCUUCAAGACAUAUAUUUAUAAUAGAUCUCAAGUGUUUAAAAUGCAGGGUUUUGUGACUUAAAAAAAGGCCAUGAUAAAUUAUCUCAAAUUAUUUUUCUUUAUUAAUGAGACAUACAUCCUGUAUAAUCCAACUGAAAACAAAUCUGCUUUAGUAAAAGAAAAAAAAAAUAGAAAGGUGCAACAACCCAGAUGCAUAAAUUUUCACACCCUUAAGUUAAUAUUUUUCUGAAGCUUCUUGUGAUUCACUUUAAACAUUCAGUCAUCUUGGCUCUCCACAGCUUAGUUUAGGCCUCAUCCAAACAUGGCUAGAUAUCUGGGGGGAAAAAUACACUUUUUUCACAUUUUGGCUUUUCAUCCACACAAAACUGUUUAAUAUCACUAAAAACGAUUAUUUAUAGAAACUCCCAUCAUAAUAAGGAUAAUUUUACGAUUCUCCUUAUUGGUGUUUGUGUGUGUACAUUGGAAAACAGACAUUUACAAAUAAUGCGCCAAAUAUAUCCACAUACGAUUCCCAACUGAUAUAAUGUUGUAUUUUAAUAACCUGAUUAAAAGUAGUUCAACCUAUAUACGUUUCUAACCAAAUGAAACUACUGGCCAUAGACAUAAUAUAAGAGUAGACGCCACAUUGGCCGUAUUUCCAGCGCAGGAAAUACGGCAGCCAUCUUGGAGCGGUUGUCCCUCCUACUUUGCUCAACCAAAACAGCAGAAGAUGCCUCAGCACUGAGGGAUAUUGUUGUUCGGAUCGAUGGACUAAUGAUGUGAGGACUCGACAGACAACAUUUCACAAGUUUCCUAAAGACACGAUGUGAGGAAGAAGUGG